This 224-nucleotide ribosomal RNA is filed under the name uncultured bacterium. RNAcentral's name for it is "partial 16S ribosomal RNA". It matches the Rfam family "Bacterial small subunit ribosomal RNA", at positions 96 to 334 of the family's 1533-position model. The record is from RNAcentral.
UGGCGUACGGGUGAGUAACACGUGGAUCAUCUACCUUCUAGUGGGGAAUACCCCUGGGAAACUGGGGACAAUACCGCAUAAGCUCGUAAGAGGAAAGCAGCAAUGCGCUGGAAGAGGAGUCCGCGGCUGAUUAGCUAGUUGGCGGGGUAAUGGCCCACCAAGGCGAAGAUCGGUAGCCGGCCUGAGAGGGCACACGGCCACACUGGCACUGAAACACGGGCCAG